AGAACCUAAAAUAUCGGUUUCCAUGUGCUGGAUGGUGUGCGUCCUUUAUGAAAACUUUGUAUCAGAGUACGGUUCAAAGACUUGGAAUCCAAAGCGAAGGCUGCCAAUAUCUCAAGAAUACAGAUCUGCUACGACUCGACCAGUUAAGAGGAAGUCGCAGAUGACUCCAAUGAACCAGACCAUAUGUACCGGCGAAGACAAAUUUCGAGUAAAUUACGUGAAGCAAAAAGCAUGACCAAGGAGCAAGGCGGAGCAGGAUAUUUGAUCAGGAGCCACUGCCGGGAACCCGGAUUGCAUGGGAGUGGGGGGAUGCAGAGCAGAGCAGAGGCAG
This is a long non-coding RNA of Alosa sapidissima (American shad), 331 nucleotides long. RefSeq lists it as uncharacterized. Lineage: Eukaryota; Metazoa; Chordata; Actinopteri; Clupeiformes; Clupeidae. The record is from RefSeq and is a predicted model, not a curated record. The transcript has 3 exons.